AUCAUAAGUUGUAUGCAAAGUUCUCUAAAUGUGACUUCUGGUUAAAAUCUGUGGCAUUCUUAGGUCAUAUUGUAUCCGAUGAAGGAAUAGGGUUGAUAACUAGAAGAUAGAAGCCGUGAAAAACUGGCCAAGACCUACAAUGCCUAUGGAGAUUCGUAGUUUCCUUAGAUUGGCAAGUUAUUAUAGAAGGGUCAUUGAAGGAUUCUCUUCCAUUGCUGCACCCUUAACAAAGUUAACACACAAAGAAACCAAGUUUCAGUGGAGUGAUGAAUGUGAAAGAAGCUUCCUAGAGCUGAGGAAUAAAUUAACUUCUACACCUGUAUUAGUACUUCCAGAAGGAACAGAAGGGUAAUGCAGUGUAUUGUGAUGCUUCGGGAGUGGGCCUAGGAUGUGUAUUGAUGCAGCAUGGUAAAGUAAUAGCUUAUGGCUCAAGGUAGCUGCGGCCACAUGAGAAAAAUUAUCCAACUCAUGAUCUAGAGCUAGCAGCAGUUGUAUUUGCUUUGAAGAUAUGGCGCCACUACUUGUAUGGAAUUCAUGUUGACCUAUACAUUGAUCACAAAAGUUUGCAGUAUAUCUUUAAGCAAAAGGACCUAAUUCUGAGGCAGCGAAGAUGGCAGGAGUUAUUAAAAGAUUAUGACAUUGAUAUCUUGUAUCAUCCUGGGAAAGUAAAUAUAGUAGCUGAUGCGUUAUGUCGUAAAAUAAUGGCAAGCACUUAUGGGCAGUCUGUGGAAAGACAAGGAAUAACUAAGGAUCUAUGUCAACUAUCUAGCUUGGGGGUUCGCCUUCUUGAAUCUCCAGACGAAGGGGUUAUUGUGUAAAAUGUGGCAGAAUCCUCAUUAGUAGUGGAAGUGAAAGAGAAGCAGUACACUAAUCCUAUUCUAUUAAAGCUUAAAGAGAAUGUACAACAGGGUAUGACAAAGGCAUUUGAGCUUACGCAAGAGAGAGUACUUCGAUGACAAAACAGAUUGUGUGUACCUAAUGUAGAUUAAUUAAGAAAGAGGAUUAUGAUGGAAGCGCAUCAUUCGAGAUAUUUUGUCCAUCCGGGGUCAACUAAAAUGUAUCAUGACUUGAAAGAAAUGUAUUGGUGGGGGGACAUGAAGAAGAACAUUGCAAAAUUCUUGGCUCAAUAUCCAAAUUGUCAACAAGUAAAAGUAGAGCACCAAAUGCCCGGAGGUUAUAUACAGUGUAUAGAACUUCCAAUUUGGAAGUGGGACAUGAUCAACAUGGAUUUUGUCACUGGUUUGCCUCGUUCAUUUCGAAAGUUUGAUUCUAUAUGGGUAAUUGUUGAUAGACCGACCAAAUCAGCGCACUUCUUGCCGGUCAAGAGUACUUAUACAGUCGAAGAAUAUGCGCUGUUGUAUAUUAAAGAGAUAGUUCAUCUACAUGGAGUGCCAAUUUCUAUUAUAUCGAAUAGGGGAGCUCAAUUCCCUGCAUAUUUUUGGAAGUCAUUUCAGAAGAGUUUAGGAACACAAGUGAAUUUAAGUACAGCCUUUCAUCCUCAAACAGACGGUCAGGCAGAGCGUACAAUUCAAACACUUGAGGAUAUGCUGCGAGCUUGUAUAUUGGACUUCAAAGGUAGUUGGGAUGAUCAUUUGCCAUUGAUCGAGUUUGCAUACAGCAAUAGCUACCAUUCAAGUAUUAAAUGGCACCUUAUGAAGCUUUAUAUGGUAGAAAAUGUAGAUCCCCAAUUGGCUGGUUCGAAAAAGGUGAAACUGCCUUAUUUGUGCCAGAUCUUGUUCAUAAGCUAUGGAAAAAGUUAAAGUGAUACAGCAUCGGCUAGAAACAGCUCAAAGUCGACAAAAAUCAUAUGCGGAUGUUAGAAGGAGAGGACUAGAAUUUUCUAUAGGGGAUUGGGUGUUCUUGAAGGUGUCACCAAUGAAAGGGGUAAUGAGGUUUGGUAAAAAAGGAAAAUUGAGUCCACGCUAUAUAGGGCCAUAUAAGAUUAUUCGAAGAGUUGACCAAGUAGCCUAUUAGUUAGAGCUACCACAAGAGCUUUCAUCAGUUCAUCCGGUGUUUCAUGUCUCGAUGCUAUUGUAUAGAGAAAAAAAGUCUGAAAUAUAUUCGAACUUUGACCGAAAUUAUUGUAAUAAUACCAAACUUAGGAAAGGACCUUUUACCCUCUGCACUAUUUACACUACACCAUUUUAGGUCUACAGCAACACUAAUUCUGGACUACGUUUGUAAAGUGUUGCCUAAAGUAGUUUUGGGAACGCUUUUAAAGCGUAGCCAAAGUGUUUACCUUUUAGCACGAUAAUAAUGGCAACACUUCAAAAGUGUACUCUUUAAUGGUAUGAGCUACACUUUAUAAGUGUUGUUACAAUAUGAUAUAAUUGGCAACACCUAUUUACAUAUAUGGCCAUACUUUUAAAGUGUCCUAUUUUAUAAUUGAAAAAACAACACAUUAUAAGUGUGGCCUUAAAAUUUUCACUAAAAUUUUAUGUUCCCUCCAAUAUUUUUAACUCUCCUUCCCAUUUUUUAUUGGCCAAAAAAAAUAAGAUUAAUAAAUCAUAAACAUUAAUCAGUCUUUCAUGCUUCACUUUCCUCAUUCACGCUUUCCUCUUUCACUGAGCUAGCUGAACCUAAGUGAAGAGAGGUGAAGAACCAAAGAACCGAUUCUCUUCUCCGAUAUAGAUUUGUGAGAAAAAGACGCUGAAUAGUUGAGGUCGUCGAAGACGAGCUAAAGAGUUGAAGAGUUGAAGUCAUCGAAGAGUUGAAGUCGCUGAAGAGUAAGUACGAUUCUCUUUUCCAAUACCUGUUUCGUCAAGCUUAAGUACUAAAUCAGUCUUCUUGUUAGCUGAAGUGGUUGAUUUUUGUUUUGUGUUUAGAAGAGGAAUAAGAAGGAAUUGAUUAUUUGGGGUUGUUGGCAAGAUGAACUGAAGCUAAUUAGUCUCUCUGUCAUGGUUUUCUCUCAAAUUUCUCACUGAAGAACAUGAUUUCAGACAAAUUUUGUUGGAAUAGGGUUUAUUAGGUAAGAAAUUCUAUAUUUGAAAGUCUAAAUUUUAGCUUUAGAGUUUUGAUAUUCUUGUGUUUUUAUACGAUUUUGGGAGUGUAGCUAGUAAUUUAGCUUCAUUAGUUCAGUUCACUGUUAGGUGUUGGAAAAAAGUUGGGAUUUAUUUGAGCAAAAAAAUUUAGAGCAACUGAAGAAAAUAGUUAAAAUAUAUAUAUAGAAACACAUUCAAGGCAGGGAGAGUUAAGUGUCGAUAAGAGUAUUACAUUUUCUAAUUCGUUUCGCAGAUCAGUUUUCCCAAGCUUUGUUCGAGUUCGAGAUUCUGCCCAGAAUUCUCAUAUGUCGUUAGUGUUCAAGUUUCGUGGUGAAGAUCGUUUCCCUGCUCGUCUCGUUCCAGUUCACUGCCCGAAGAAAGGUAAUGUCAUUUACCUCAUAGUACUCUUUUCGCCUCUUCUAUUUUAAGAGUGAUAUUGUGACUGUUUAAAGCUGUUUUGAUUAGUUUGUUUCUUUUUUGUUGAUGUUGAUUCAAUAUGAGAUAUGUAUUUCUUAAUUAGUUACUUUCGCGGGUCUGAUGAAUAUCUCUUUAAAGAUUCGAGAAUUUGUAUUCAUUAUUGUUAUUCCCCUACUUGUCAUUCAAAGUUUUGUUUGUUGUUUCUCUUCCUGAUCUUGUCUUUUGGAAUGUGCAUUGGAGUACUUGGUUUUGUUCUGCUAAAUGUUAGAUUGCUCUCAGGGGAUGUGCAUUGUUACCGCACACUUUUAUUCUCCCAUAAUCUCAUAGGUUGCAUAUGGUUAUAGCCUGUGAUAUCUAUCUAUCUAUCUAUUGUCUUAUGAAGAAAUCAACAGCUAUGUUACUUCCAUAGUCUUGUAAGUAAAAAAUAUCAAUAGGUUUAUCUAUUGUAACUGUAAUUUUAUAAGAGGAAUGAGCACUUAAAGUCUCUAAUGCAACAUCAAUUCAAAAUAUCAUUUUUUUGAUAGAUAUUCAAGGUAACAAUCCUAUGUAGCCUUCAUAUGAUUAUAUAAAAGCUUCUUUUAUUUUACUCUCAUCUUAUUUUUCAAUUUUUUUGGGGGUGGAAAGUGUGGGAUGGCUAUCCAUCUUUCAUUGUUGAUAUGCUUUUGUGGUCAGUUUAUUGUUUCAAUUCCCAAGUUUUUUGUUCACAUUGUGCUCCAAUUCCAAUAGUAUACAUGGUUGACAAUAGUUUAUGAAGGGAAAUUCAUUUUGUAAUAACAACAAGUGCACACUUGUUAUCCACAUCAUGAGUAGGAGAAAGACAAAAGGCAAUCAAUUCCUUUGUAGUAAUUUCAAUUUCUAUGUGAUUUUGACAUCGUGUGAUUUGUACCUUUCAUUUCUUUGGUGCUUGCCAUGUGCUUGUACAUGAUUUUCUAACGUCUGGUUAUGAGUCACUUUGAAAAUAUAUCUUUCCCCUCCCAAAAAAAACACACCAAUUUAAUGAAAUUAUGACGUUAAAAUAAAGCAAAAAUUGACAAGUCAAUAUAAGUAAUUACAUAUUAAGUUUGCUUUGCUUUUUAUUUUAAUGGAAGAACAUAUAGUGAGCUAACUCCCUAGUCUUGUCCAAUGAUAUAAAUAGUUUUACGAUAAAUACAUCAUAUUAUGCAUGUCCAUUACACAAUUUUCUGGGAAAACAGCUGAUGAUGCCUUUAGGGCAGUGCUUGGAAAUGAACAGCCUGGCCGACUUAGGUGUUAUGGCAGAUCAGUGACAACAAGUUCUCUAAAAGAAUAUGAAGAAAUUAACAAGCUAAAACAAAAGCAUGCUAAUGAAAUCAGUUCUCUGAAGGAAGAAAUGAAUGAAAAAAUGAAUGAAAUGAGAGUAGAAAUAUGACAUUUUUUCAGUCAGUUGCUGCAAAACAACCCUAGAUUGAAUGUUCAAGAUAUACCAGGGGUUGUUGGAUCUAAUCUUAUUUCACCUGUUGAUGCAAUUAGCGCGCACAAGUUGUAAAAGGCAAAAAUAUUCCACAUUCUUCAGGGUCAAUUCAUGAUUCGGUUCUUCAAAAGGUAUUUUCUUGGUUCCUUAAGGCAUUUCUCUCACUUUCUCUCCUCUGGAACCUCUCAAUUGUAUUUUCCUCAACUCUGUCUAGUUGUUCUUGUUGGCUGUUAGUUUGAUCUUGCACAACAAGAUCAUUAUAGUUAUUAUGAGUAGAAAUAGUAGAUUUGGUUGCUGAUUUGUAUGUGUAGUUGUGGCUCCAUCCGGCAGUCCAUGCUUGGUACUGAUAUUUUAGAUAUUUCUAGCAAAGUGCCCUGCCAAAAAAAUGUGAUCAAUGGUGUCUUUUACUGGUUAAUAGCAGCAGAAACACUUGAAAUGUUGUUGACCAAAAUUGUGAGCUUGUUCCUUUUCUCUCUAAUCUGAUCCCAAGUAGAUGAGCAUGUGAAUUCUACAUUUGCGUUGGGUUUCUAGAUUGGUUGAUUAGAAACCAUGGGCUGGUAGUGAAUUUGAGUCGCAAGAAUGGUCGGGACAAGAUCUGGAGGUGCAGUUUGAUAGACAGUUUUCUGUUAAAGUUACACACUUUUUCUGUUAAAGUUGCACACUGGAAAUCUGGAAAUCUGGAAUCUGGAAAUCUGGAAAUCUAGAAAUCUGGAAAUCUAGAAAUCUGGAAUCUGGAAAUCUGGAAUCUGGAAAUCCAUCAGGGUUUGAAAUAAAAAUGAAUAUUGAGGAUUCAUAUAGCUAAAGCAACUAAUUUUGAAUUGAUCUAUAGUUGUUGUUUUAGAAGGUUCCAUGCUUAUCUUUAACAUCUAGGAUUCAUAUAGCUAAACAUCUACUUUUGUAUGUCUUUUUCAAAUUCAACUCAACAAGCAGCUGACUCAUUUUGUGUCCCUUCCAAAGCAUUAUUUUCUGGAAGGAAAUUAUAAAAAACCCAGAAAGGUUUUUGUAAGUUGUAACUUCUAGAUUUCUGGUAAGUUAAUGGAUAUGCAUUCCCUGAAACUUUGGUCUUAGUAUCAUCUGUUCUCUCAUAACAUGAAGAUCUAUUAGGCCAUCAUCAAGCAAAUUGAAGUUUAUAUCUUAGAGAAAUUAGCAAAGGAAGCAUACGGCAUGUGUGCAUGAUAUGCUUUUGGUAAAUUCAACUAGGAAUGACUAAAACUUUUAAAAACUAGGAUAGGGGAAUAGAAAAUAAGAGAGUGGAAAUAAGAUGCUAAUGUUGAGUGUGAGCAUACAGCAACAAUGGAUAGUCAUAGGUGAUGAAAGAAAACAGAUUAACAACAUAGUAGCUGAUGUUGUAGCUCCUCUGUUUUUUUAUAACAGUGUGAUUAUGAGGGUGUUGUUGGAAAAAUAGUGCAGCUUCACAAAUUGGACCACAUCUUUCGGUAAAAAUUUAAAAUCCAGAAUUUUUGUGCAAUGUGGAAUGUGGAAUGUGGAACUCUUUGCCUCUUCUAUAAUUGUUGCAAUCUGAUUUGUCAUAAAUUCUAAAUGUGUAGGGAAAUGGAGGUGAUCAAAUUUGAAGGGUCGCUACAAGUCAAUUUGAUCUCAUUGAAGUGGCUGAUGAAGAGUUUUUGAACUAUUGUAAAAGUUUGAAUACAUUAUGUUUGAUUUUGUGAAAUAUAUUCUUUGCUAGAAUAUAUUGAACUAUUGUAAGAGUACUUUUUGAACAAUUGUGUACACAUAUUUAGAAUAUUGUUGUAUAAGUAUAUGUGUAAGUACACAAG
This 6602-nucleotide long non-coding RNA is filed under the name Solanum tuberosum (potato). RNAcentral's name for it is "long non-coding RNA (STUB_LNC009872)". Lineage: Eukaryota; Viridiplantae; Streptophyta; Magnoliopsida; Solanales; Solanaceae. The record is from RNAcentral.